This 226-nucleotide ribosomal RNA is filed under the name uncultured bacterium. RNAcentral's name for it is "partial 16S ribosomal RNA". It matches the Rfam family "Bacterial small subunit ribosomal RNA", at positions 28 to 250 of the family's 1533-position model. The record is from RNAcentral.
GACGAACGCUGGCGGCGUGCUUAACACAUGCAAGUCGAGCGGUAAGGCCCUUUCGGGGGUACGACGAGCGGCGAACGGGUGAGUAACACGUGGGUGACCUGCCCUCCAGCUCUGGGAGUAAGCCCGGGAAACGUAGGGUCUAAUACUGGAUAUGACUCCAUGACGCAUGUUGUGGGGUGGAAAGCCUUGUGCGGCUGAGGAUGGGCCCGCGGCCUAUCAGCUUGUU